GCCGCCUUAGCUCAGUGGUAGAGCACUUCCAUGGUAAGGAAGGGGUCAUGAGUUCAAAUCUCAUAGGCGGCU
Molecule: transfer RNA, 72 nt
Filed under: Rhodothermaceae bacterium
Lineage: Bacteria; Pseudomonadati; Rhodothermota; Rhodothermia; Rhodothermales; Rhodothermaceae
Description: tRNA-Thr
Rfam family: tRNA
About the family: Transfer RNA (tRNA) molecules are approximately 80 nucleotides in length. Their secondary structure includes four short double-helical elements and three loops (D, anti-codon, and T loops).
Source: RNAcentral